ACCUCACCCUCCUUCAAACUAUCCCCUUCAACCUUUGGUCUCUCCAUUUGAACCCUAAAAUUUCAUAUCCAAAUUUUCAAGCUCUCUCGCCGUGCAGUCUCCUGUCGUCGUCGUCUCUCGAGCUCUCUCUCACAUCGGCGCCGUCUCUCACAUCGUCGCCGUCUCUCGAGCUCUCGAGCUGUGUUGUCUUGUUCGCUAUUUCACUGUGUUGUUCUUGCUACGUCGUGUUUCAAUCGACAAUUGCUCCGCCGCGUGGAAUCCUACACGUCCCUCCCGCUACGUCCAAACCGCUGGUCUUGUUGCGCUUAUUAAGCAGAAGUUCCCAAAUUUCAGUCCUCCAGCCAUUGGUUCUACACUUUCUACUAUUGUGUCUUAGAAUGAUAAGAGUGGUGGACUGAUAAUGGCUCAAUGAUCAUGUGCUUUUCCAGAUCUAAGCCAAACCCCGACUACUCCUUUUGACAUGGUGUUCAGAUCAAUAUUCAUGGAAGAAAUCCAGAGAUUUGCUUGAGAAGGUUGUUGGGCAAAGUGAUCUUACUGGUUAUAGAGUUCCUUGCUGCUAAGGAUGAUCUAACUCCAUAUCCAAGGGCAGUCCAAGAUUCAGUCAAGGUUACUUAGGAGUUGGGAAUAAAGGCACCUAUUCACGUAAGUAAGAAAUUAUGCGAUUCAAGUAACAUGUAUAAUAAAAUUGUUAGGGCUGCAGAACACUCUCAUUUGAGCAUCCCAGAAACUGAAUUUUGGAAGAAAAGAAAGCAAUACCACCAGCUUCUGCAAAACUCUCUUAUUUUUGCUUUAGUUGGGACCACAACGACAUUUGUUGGUUUGGCAGCAUGUCAUGCAUAUGCAGUGAAGAAGAACUCUUCUGCCUAGUCAUCAAACAACUUAAAUUAUGGUAACAGUUUUGACAUAAUUGUGAAUUUGUGUUAAGUAUUGUAUACAAAACCUCAUCGGACGACCUUAAGUUAGAGUCUUUUAUGCAUAAUAAUCACUAAUUUCAUUUAUUCUUUGUUAGGUUAAGACUUGUUAUAUGUAGUUAGUUUCCUCAAUAUGAUUGUUGGUUUCAAUCUGAUUUUCGUUGUGAACUUUUUAGGGAAAAUUACAUUGAUUUGAUGAAAUUACAGUUAUCGGUCUUUUAAUUAUAGCAUGCUUGAAACGUUUCACACAUACACACACACUUUUUGAUCAAUUAACUCUAUACGAGCCAGUCUUUAGUUGAACAGUCACAAAAUAUAUACACGUCAAUGUCUCAAUACCACUAAACUCUUGUUUAGUUUAAAAGGAUUGCUGUAAGAAAUGAACCCAAAAAUUGUCAAUGUCUCAAUGCCACUGAACUCUUAUUUGAUACUUACAAGGAUGGUAUUGUAUAGUCUUUGGUAGCUCUUUUCUUUUGAUAAGUUUAGGACCUAGCUUAUUUGGCUUGUUGAAUAUGAACUCUAAAAAUGCAUAUUAAAACUAAUCAUGAAAAGAUGUAUAUAUGAAUGUAUAACUAUAUAUGUAUAUAUGAAUGUAUAACUCUAUAUUGAAUAUGAACUCUAUAUGAAUGAUUUGAGAAGUAGAACAAUGAGGG
Non-coding RNA from Cicer arietinum (chickpea), 1564 nucleotides. NCBI's taxonomy places the organism in Eukaryota, Viridiplantae, Streptophyta, Magnoliopsida, Fabales, Fabaceae. The record is from RefSeq and is a predicted model, not a curated record.